CCAAGCAUUAGGCUCCUUAAUCAUGGCGAUCAGUUCCAUACAAUCUGUUCCAAAGCUCUAGCAUGUCGAAUGUUGAAUCAUAUUCUCCAUCGCCCAUGGCAGUGCUUCUACUUCUGAAUGCAAGGCAAACUCGCGUCGAAUGUAAUUUCGUGUCCCCAUAAGUUGAACCUUCCCAAAGCUGUCAAUCCAAACUCAUCCACAACCGCUGAACUAUGUUGUGGAUGUCCAUGAC
This 232-nucleotide long non-coding RNA is filed under the name Brassica napus (rape). RNAcentral's name for it is "long non-coding RNA (BNAP_LNC021441)". Lineage: Eukaryota; Viridiplantae; Streptophyta; Magnoliopsida; Brassicales; Brassicaceae. The record is from RNAcentral.